GAUGAACGCUGGCGGCGUGCCUAAUACAUGCAAGUCGAGCGAACAGAUGAGGAGCUUGCUCCUCUGACGUUAGCGGCGGACGGGUGAGUAACACGUGGAUAACCUACCUAUAAGACUGGGAUAACUUCGGGAAACCGGAGCUAAUACCGGAUAAUAUAUUGAACCGCAUGGUUCAAUAGUGAAAGACGGUUUUGCUGUCACUUAUAGAUGGAUCCGCGCCGCAUUAGCUAGUUGGUAAGGUAACGGCUUACCAAGGCAACGAUGCGUAGCCGACCUGAGAGGGUGAUCGGCCACACUGGAACUGAGACACGGACCAGACUCCUACGGGAGGCAGCAGUAGGGAAUCUUCCGCAAUGGUCGAAAGCCUGACGGAGCAACGCCGCGUGAGUGAUGAAGGUCUUCGGAUCGUAAAACUCUGUUAUUAGGGAAGAACAAAUGUGUAAGUAACUAUGCACGUCUUGACGGUACCUAAUCAGAAAGCCACGGCUAACUACGUG
RNAcentral lists this ribosomal RNA (497 nucleotides) under uncultured bacterium. RNAcentral's name for it is "partial 16S ribosomal RNA". It matches the Rfam family "Bacterial small subunit ribosomal RNA", at positions 28 to 507 of the family's 1533-position model. The record is from RNAcentral.